RNAcentral lists this ribosomal RNA (546 nucleotides) under Salmonella enterica. RNAcentral describes it as "partial 23S ribosomal RNA". It matches the Rfam family "Bacterial large subunit ribosomal RNA", at positions 2387 to 2925 of the family's 2925-position model. Lineage: Bacteria; Pseudomonadati; Pseudomonadota; Gammaproteobacteria; Enterobacterales; Enterobacteriaceae. The record is from RNAcentral.
GCGCGAGCAGGUGCGAAAGCAGGUCAUAGUGAUCCGGUGGUUCUGAAUGGAAGGGCCAUCGCUCAACGGAUAAAAGGUACUCCGGGGAUAACAGGCUGAUACCGCCCAAGAGUUCAUAUCGACGGCGGUGUUUGGCACCUCGAUGUCGGCUCAUCACAUCCUGGGGCUGAAGUAGGUCCCAAGGGUAUGGCUGUUCGCCAUUUAAAGUGGUACGCGAGCUGGGUUUAGAACGUCGUGAGACAGUUCGGUCCCUAUCUGCCGUGGGCGCUGGAGAACUGAGGGGGGCUGCUCCUAGUACGAGAGGACCGGAGUGGACGCAUCACUGGUGUUCGGGUUGUCAUGCCAAUGGCACUGCCCGGUAGCUAAAUGCGGAAGAGAUAAGUGCUGAAAGCAUCUAAGCACGAAACUUGCCCCGAGAUGAGUUCUCCCUGAGACUUAGAGUCUCCUGAAGGAACGUUGAAGACGACGACGUUGAUAGGCCGGGUGUGUAAGCGCAGCGAUGCGUUGAGCUAACCGGUACUAAUGAACCGUGAGGCUUAACCUUAC